UUUGCGGUCGCGGCGGCUGCUGCUCCUGCUGCCUCACGUUGGAAUUGGAGAUGCCUUGUCCUGCUCUCAGGACAGAACCAUGAAACCAGCAGCAGCGGCGGUGCACGAUGCUCCCAAUCCGUCGCCAGGCGCCGCCUCAGAGCCUGUGGCUGUUCGCCAUCCCCGGAGCCGAUGGGCCGCGUAGCACGGAGUUGCUCCUGCUGGCGGCGACCAAGGCGGGACUGGAGCGGCGGGACAUCUCCGGGGAGUGGGUGAAGGAAGAGCCGCAGCCGCCACGUCCUCUCUUUCUCCGGGAAUGUGCAGGAUUACCGUGAAAUUAUGACUCGUCAUCCUGCAAAUUACCAAUGGGAAAAUUGGAGUCUAGAAAAUGUUGCCACUAUUUUAGCCCACCGGUUCCCCAAUAGCUAUAUUUGGGUGAUAAAAGUGCUCCUGAAUGCAUUUGCACAAAUUCAGCUGCCAUAAUAGUUUUGUGAAAAGUAACGUGUUUGGUUCCCCAGAACACAAUACUGACUCUGGAGCUUUUAAGCAGUUUUAUAUGUUAUUAGUUAAGGCUUUUAAGUCAUAAUAGUUUAAUCAAAGAAAAAUUUGAAUGAUUGGAAAAAGGACUCCACAGCAUCUAAUUGUAGUGCGGUUCUUUUCAUACUACAAAUCGUUUCCAGGGAGAAAAAGAGAGGACCUGUAAAAAAUCUGAUGAGUCAGCCAUGAGUUUUUAUCCACCAUCACUAAAUGAUGCAUCUUUUACUUUACGGGAUUCAGUAAAGGUUGUGUCGUUUUGAAUCAAUUUCUUUUUUAAUUGAAAGAAGCCAAGAAAGACAAGAACAUGGAUGCUUUCAUUAAAAGCGUAAGAACAAUGUAUUGGCUAAAUGGUGGUCAUUCCGGAGGAAGCAAUACUUGGGUUACUUCACCAUAAGUCUUGAAAGAAUUUGCACAAACGGGGAUUAUUGUUCAAACCCAUGUAACACUGUACUAAGUACAUGAUCCAAUGGGAUCUUGAUUUGGAAAAGAGCAAAAUAAAUUUGUUUCGAUACUUAGGGAUAUUGUUUUGCAGGUGACUAGCUGAGUUCAUUUCACAAAGGAAGCUCCCUCCAUAGAGAAUCACUUCAGAGAUCAUGAAGUAUUU
Molecule: long non-coding RNA, 1120 nt
Filed under: Homo sapiens (human)
Lineage: Eukaryota; Metazoa; Chordata; Mammalia; Primates; Hominidae
Description: non-protein coding lnc-TP53TG3F-27:1
Source: RNAcentral